RNAcentral lists this unclassified non-coding RNA (267 nucleotides) under Hevea brasiliensis (rubber tree). The record is from RNAcentral. Lineage: Eukaryota; Viridiplantae; Streptophyta; Magnoliopsida; Malpighiales; Euphorbiaceae.
GUACGCUUCAAAUCAAGUUUUACCUGAUGGGAAAAAGUUCAUUGUUGUUGGCGGGAGGUAUCAAUUCAAUUAUGAGUUCAUCCCUAAAACCUCUAGUUCUGAUCAAACACUUUACCAACUUCCAUUUCUGAAAGAAACCAGAUAUUCUCCCCUGAUUCCAAACAAUCUUUACCCUUUCCUACACCUCUCUGCUGAUGGAAAUCUCUUCGUUUUCGCCAAUGACCGAGCAAUUCUACUUGACUAUGUCAACAACAAAGUGGUCAAAAA